CCUAACACAUGCAAGUCGAACGGUAACUUUUCGAUUGAUUUCUUCGGAAUGAUUUGGCUAAGUUAGUGGCGGACGGGUGAGUAACGCGUGAGUAACCUGCCUUCGAGAGGGGAAUAACAAUCUGAAAAAGAUUGCUAAUACCGCAUAACAUAGCGAGGUCGCAUGGCUUUGCUAUCAAAGAUUUAUCGCUCGAAGAUGGACUCGCGUCCGAUUAGUUAGUUGGUGAGGUAACGGCUCACCAAGACCACGAUCGGUAGCCGGACUGAGAGGUUGAACGGCCACAUUGGGACUGAGACACGGCCCAGACUCCUACGGGAGGCAGCAGUGGGGGAUAUUGCGCAAUGGGGGCAACCCUGACGCAGCAAUGCCGCGUGAAGGAUGAAGGUUUUCGGAUUGUAAACUUCUUUUAUUAAGGACGAACAAUGACGGUACUUAAUGAAUAAGCUCCGGCUAACUACGUG
RNAcentral lists this ribosomal RNA (461 nucleotides) under uncultured bacterium. RNAcentral describes it as "bacterial SSU rRNA". It matches the Rfam family "Bacterial small subunit ribosomal RNA", at positions 47 to 507 of the family's 1533-position model. The record is from RNAcentral.